CCUACGGGUGGCAGCAGUAGGGAAUAUUGGUCAAUGGGCGAAAGUCUGAAGCAGCAACGCCGCGUGAAGGAUGAAUGCUCUAGGAUUUGUAACCUUCUUUGAUAGAGAAGUUAAUGGCGGCACCUAACGGAUAAGCACCGGCUAAUUCCGUGCCAGCAGCCGUGGUAAUAUGGAGGUUGCGAGCGUUAUUCGGAUUCACUGGGCGUAAAGGGCGCGUAGUGGGGUUAGCAAGUCAGAUGUGAAAUCUUUCGGCUCAACCGUAAAACUGCAGGUGAAACUGUUAGUCUUGAGUACAGUAGAGGUAGGUGGAAUUCGUGGUGUAGCGGUGAAAUGCGUAGAGAUCACGAAGAAUACUGAUUGCGAAGGC
Molecule: ribosomal RNA, 367 nt
Filed under: uncultured bacterium
Lineage: Bacteria
Description: partial 16S ribosomal RNA
Rfam family: Bacterial small subunit ribosomal RNA
Source: RNAcentral